GAUGAACGCUAGCUACAGGCUUAACACAUGCAAGUCGAGGGGUAACGAGAGGAAAGCUUGCUUUCCUUGUCGACGACCGGCGCACGGGUGAGUAACGCGUAUCCAACCUGCCCCCAACUAGGGAAUAACCUUGCGAAAGUAAGACUAAUACCCUAUAAUUUCCUCAGAUGUCAUCUGACGAGGAAUAAAGAUUUAUCGGUUGUGGAUGGGGAUGCGUCUGAUUAGCUUGUUGGCGGGGUAACGGCCCACCAAGGCAACGAUCAGUAGGGGUUUGUGGAGGAAGGUCCCCCACAUUGGAACUGAGACACGGUCCAAACUCCUACGGGAGGCAGCAGUGAGGAAUAUUGGUCAAUGGGCGGAAGCCUGAACCAGCCAAGUAGCGUGCAGGAUGACGGCCCUAUGGGUUGUAAACUGCUUUUAUACAGGAAUAAAGUUAGCCACGUGUGGUUAUUUGUAGGUACUGUAUGAAUAAGGACCGGCUAAUUCCGUGCCAGCCGCCGCCGUAA
Molecule: ribosomal RNA, 506 nt
Filed under: uncultured bacterium
Lineage: Bacteria
Description: partial 16S ribosomal RNA
Rfam family: Bacterial small subunit ribosomal RNA
Source: RNAcentral